AGCCCAGGAAAUGACAUUCCCUCUCCCUCCCUGCAGAAUCAUGCUGUGCUGUUGAGUGCAACCCAGAUACAGCCGCUCCCAGGGCGAUGCCCGCCAACCUGCAGGAGGAGCCCCUCCCCGAGGCCCAGAGAAGUCUGCAGAGGCCCUGGCCUUCCUCCGCCUGCUCAGCACACCUCCCGCCAUGGGUGGAAUCCUGAGACCAGAGAUCAGAGUCACCUCUGACGCUCCCCAGCCAGCUCUCUCUCCCCUUCCCCUGUGUAUUCCACCAGGACAGACAGGGGGGAUGUUCCUCUUUCUUUUCCUGCCCACGCCAGGACUUCCCCGUGUAAAACGGUGAGCAGGGUGGAUGCUCCAUUGAGGCCUGCAGGGCGGGACCGCAGCCCUGUGGGUAGACCGCAUCUGUCCAGUGAAUGGCCGGGAGAAGAUGUAGGUCUGCAGACAGGAAACCAGAACUCUGAGGACAAAUCUCAACAAACAGAUGAACUAUUUCCCAAAAUACAGCUAUUAACAUUGUGAUUCACUCUUUUACAUGCGAUUCAACAAGUGUUCAUUGAGAACUGAUAUGAAGGAGCUAAUAAAUAUUGACCAAAUCAUAAUGGCAGCAGCAUUUGUAAGUGUUUAUUUCCUUAUAUUGGCAAGGUGUUUUAAAGGUUUGAAGGGGCAUCAUCGAGGAGUUUCAGAAUACUUGAACACACCAUUUCAGGCAGGCGUAAAGAAGGGGAAAAGCCCUAAACCGUGAGGGGACUAGGGGAUGGAGCACACACAGGACUCAGAAUCUCUUCAGUUCGAAUCAGAAAGUUAAAUGCCAUAGAAGAGGUGAAGGCUGAGAUUGGGAAUGGGGACCCAUGGGCUUAGAGAGUCCCACACUCUAAAAUGAGAGAC
Molecule: long non-coding RNA, 882 nt
Organism: Myotis daubentonii (Daubenton's bat)
Lineage: Eukaryota; Metazoa; Chordata; Mammalia; Chiroptera; Vespertilionidae
Exons: 3
Source: RefSeq, a predicted model, not a curated record